Molecule: ribosomal RNA, 253 nt
Filed under: uncultured bacterium
Lineage: Bacteria
Description: partial 16S ribosomal RNA
Rfam family: Bacterial small subunit ribosomal RNA
Source: RNAcentral
UACAGAGGGUGCGAGCGUUGUCCGGAAUCACUGGGCGUAAAGGGCGCGUAGGCGGCUUCUCAAGCGUGCGGUGAAAGCUCGGGGCUUAACUCCGAGUCUGCCGUGCGAACUGGGAGGCUUGAGUCUGGUAGAGGUCGAUGGAAUUCCGGGUGUAGCGGUGGAAUGCGUAGAGAUCCGGAAGAACACCGGUGGCGAAGGCGGCCGACUGGGCCAGUACUGACGCUGAGGCGCGACAGCGUGGGGAGCAAACAGG